Molecule: ribosomal RNA, 232 nt
Filed under: uncultured bacterium
Lineage: Bacteria
Description: partial 16S ribosomal RNA
Rfam family: Bacterial small subunit ribosomal RNA
Source: RNAcentral
CGGACGGGUGAGUAAUGCAUAGGAAUCUACCCAGUAGUGGGGGACAACUCGGAGAAAUUCGAGCUAAUACCGCAUGUGUCCUACGGGACAAAGCAGGGGACCUUCGGGCCUUGCGCUAUUGGAUGAGCCUAUGUCGGAUUAGCUAGUUGGUAAGGUAAAGGCCUACCAAGGCGACGAUCCGUAGCUGGUCUGAGAGGAUGACCAGCCACACUGGAACUGAGACACGGUCCAG